Camarhynchus parvulus is the source of this 3227-nucleotide long non-coding RNA. The record is from Ensembl. Lineage: Eukaryota; Metazoa; Chordata; Aves; Passeriformes; Thraupidae.
GGGUUUUGGGGUGGAUUUUGGGCUUUUGGGGUGGAUUUUGGGUUUUUGGGGUGGAUUUUGGGGUUUUCGGGGUGAAUUUUGGGGUUUUUGGGGUGGGUUUUGGGGUUUUCGGGGUGGGUUUUGGGGUUUUGGGGGUGCAUUUUGGGGUUUUCGGUGCCCCCGAUCCCAUUUUUGGGGGUGGGUUUUGGGGUUUUCGGUGCCCCCGAUCCCGUUUUCGGGGUGGAUUUUGGGGUUUUCAGGGUGCAUUUUGGGGUUUUCGGUGCCCCCGAUCCCGUUUUCGGGGUGGAUUUUGGGGUUUUCAGGGUGCAUUUUGGGGUUUUCGGUGCCCCCGAUCCCGUUUGCGGGGCGCGUUGGUUUUGGGGUUUUCGGGGUGCAUUUUGGGGUUUUCGGUGCCCCCGAUCCCGUUUUCGGGGUGCGUUUUGGGGUUUUCGGGGUGCGUUUUGGGGUUUUCGGGGUGCAUUUUGGGGUUUUCGGGGUGCGUUUUGGGGUUUUCGGUGCCCCCGAUCCCGUUUCCGGGCUCCCCAGGAGCGCUGGGGCGCCGUUGGGGGGGUGUGGGCGGCGCUGCCCCCCCUCCUGGCCCACCUGGCCCGGCUGAGGCGGCGCCUGAGCACGCACCUGCAGCGGGGGAGGGGCCAGGGAACCGCCAGGCUGUUCCUGCUCCGGGCCGGGCUCUCGGCCUUCCGGGGCUCCCUGGGCCGGGCGCUGACCCAGCUCCAAAAACCCCAAAAUUCACCCCAAAAACCCCAAAAUUCACCCCAAAAACCGCCCUGGGAACCCCAAAAACACCAAAAACCCCAAAAUUCCUCCCCCAAAAACUCCAAAUCCCCAAAAUUCAGCCCCAAAAUCCCCAAAAUUGGCCCCAAAAUCGGCCCCAAAAUCUCAAAAUUUGGACCCAAAAUCCCCAAAUUUGGCCUCAAAAUUGGAUCCAAAUUGACCCCAAAAUCUCAACAGUUGGCCUCAAAAUCGGCUCUAAAAUCCCCAAAUUUGGCCCCAAAAUCCCCAAAUUUGGACCCAAAAUCUCAAAAUUUGGACCCAAAAUCCCCGAGUUUGGCCCCAAAAUCCCCAAAUUUGUCUCCAAAUUCAGCCCCAAAAUCCCCGAAUUUGGCCCCAAAAUUUCAAAAUUUGGCCCCAAAAUCCCCAAAUUUGGCCCCAAAAUCCCCGAGUUUGGCCCCAAAAUCGCCGAAUUUGGCCCCAAAAUCGCCGAAUUUGGCCCCCAAAAUCCCCGAGUUUGGCCCCAAAAUCGCCAUUUGGCCCCCAAAAUCCCCGGUUUGGCCCCAAAAUCGCCGGUUUGGCCCCAGACCCGGCCCUGGAGCGGCUCCGGCAGCGGCUUCGGAGGGGGAGGGGCCGAGUGGUGCGGCUGCAGCGGCGCCUGCGCUUCCUGAGCGCGGCCAGCAGGGGGCGCCGGGCGGCGCUGAGGGCGCUGCAGGAGCAGGUGGGGAGCGCGGCCGGGCGGGGCGGGAUGGACCAGUAUGGACCAGUAUGGACCAGUAUGGACCAGUAUGGACCAGUACGGACCAGUAUGGACCGGUUAGAGACCAGUACGGACCAGUAUGGACCAGUAUGGACCGGUUAGAGACCAGUACGGACCAGUACGGACCAGUAUGGACCAGUACGGACCAGAACGGACCAGUACGGACCAGUACGGACCAGUACGGACCAGUACGGACCAGUAUGGACCAGUAUGGACCAGUAUGGACCAGUAUAGACCAGUACGGACCAGUACGGACCAGAACGGACCAGUACGGACCAGAACGGACCAGUACGGACCAGUAUGGACCAGUACGGACCAGUAUGGACCAGUAUAGACCAGUAUGGACCAGUACGGACCAGUAUAGACCAGUAUGGACCGGUUAGAGACCAGUAUGGACCAGUACGGACCAGUACGGACCAGUACGGACCAGUACGGACCAGUAUGGACCAGUACGGACCAGUAUGGACCGGUUAGAGACCAGUACGGACCAGUAUGGACCAGUACGGACCAGUACGGACCAGUAUGGACCAGUAUGGACCAGUAAUGACCAGUAAUGGACCAGUACGGACCAGUACGGACCAGUAUGGACCAGUAUGGACCAGUAUGGACCAGUUAGAGACCAGUACGGACCAGUAUGGACCAGUAUAGACCAGUACGGACCAGUACGGACCAGAACGGACCAGUACGGACCAGAACGGACCAGUACGGACCAGUACGGACCAGUACGGACCAGUACGGACCAGUAUAGACCAGUAUGGACCAGUAUGGACCGGUUAGAGACCAGUAUGGACCAGUAUGGACCAGUACGGACCAGUACGGACCAGUAUGGACCAGUACGGACCAGUAUGGACCGGUUAGAGACCAGUAUGGACCAGUACGGACCAGUAUGGACCAGUACGGACCAGUACGGACCAGUACGGACCAGUAUGGACCAGUAUGGACCAGUACGGACCAGUAUGGACCGGUUAGAGACCAGUACGGACCAGUACGGACCAGUAUGGACCAGUACGGACCGGUUAGAGACCAGUAUGGACCAGUACGGACCAGUAUAGGCCACUAAGCCCCCCAGUGCCCUCCCAGUCCAUCCCAGUAUAUCCCAGUAUGACCCCAGUUCCCCUAGUUUAUCCCAGUUUGACUCCAGCUGUGUUCCCAGUGCUCCCAGUCCAUCCCAGUAUAACCCAGUCCCUCCCAGUUCCCUCCCAGUUCAUCCCAGUUUGACUCCAGCUGUGUUCCCACUGCCUCCCAGUUUAUCCCAGUUUAUCCCAGUAUGUCCCAGUAUGUCCCAGUUUGAUCCCAGUCCCUCCCAGUGGCCCCAGUUCACCCUCCCAGUACAAACCAGUUCACCCAGUCAAUUGCCUUCCACUCAUCCCAGUCCCUCCCAGUUUGAGUCCAGCUGUGUUCCCAGUCCGUCCCAGUUUGUCCCAGUUUGAUCCCAGUCCCUCCCAGUUCCUCCCAGUAUAUCCCAGUUCCCGACCAUUCUGAUUGGCCGCAGGUUGUGGGCGUGGUGCGGGCGGGGCCGGGCUCGGCCCCUCCCCCUCUGGAGGGGGCGUGGCUCCGUCGCCGGCAGCUGUUAGUGGGAGCGGAGCUCCGCCCCCCGCCACAGGCCACGCCCCCUCUGCAGGGACUGGCCCGGGAGAUGGGCGUGGCACAGGUGAGGGAGGGGCUUCAAGGGGGAGGGGCUUAAAUGGGGAAGGGGAGGAGCUUAGAGGUGAGAGAUGGGAGGGGCUUAAAUGGGAGGAGGGGCUUAGAGAAGGGU